GUAGAACUAUGGAUGUCCGAAGUCGACGACGCUAUGAAAGACGCUCUAGUUCAUUAUACAAAUGUGGCCAUGACUGAAUGGAGCAAUCAGCCUGAUAUGGAAUACCUUGAACGCUAUCCAGGUCAAUCCAUUUACUGCGCAUCGGCCAUUAACUGGACGAAAUCUGUCACCGACACGAUCACGGCCGGCAAUAAAUGGAGUGAACUGGAAUCGUCAACAAGUUCUUUAGUAACACACUUCACGUCAAUGAUAAAAAAUAGGCCAACCCCGACUGUUAGGAUUACGCUCAACAACCUGAUCAUGUUUUACCUCAACAGUCGAGAUAUUAUUCAACGAAUGAAAUCGAAAUAUGUUUCAAGCCUGGACGAUUUUUAUUGGCAAACGAAUUUGCGAUACUAUUGGAACACGGACGCGUUAGAGGGCCUUGGUCAUUUAACUGUCGCGAUGAUUGAGACACAAGUUCCGUAUGGAUUCGAAUAUAUGGGCAACAACCAUCGACUAGUCCUCACGCCUGCUACCGAGAAAGGAUUCCAGAUCAUGAUGCUGGCGUUGAAGCAGUUUCAAGGUGGAUGGCUACAUGGUUUGCAAGGCGUUGGUAAAACGGAAACCAUCAAGGAAUUAGCCCGUGCUGUGGCAAAACAGUGUUUAGUUUUUAAUUGCUUCGACGGACUUGAUACCAGAUCAAUAGGCCGUAUUCUAAAGGGUAUUGUACAAUCUGGAGCGUGGUCUUGCUUUGACGAUAUUGACCAAGUGGCACCUGACGUUCUUUCAGUCAUGGCAGUUCAAAUUUACACGCUUCAAAUGGCUCUUAGUCGACGGAUGCGACGAGUCAAUUUUGAGGGAUCGGAUGUUCAAGUCACUGUCGGUUCGGCAAUAUUCAUCACCACCAAAACAAAGGAGCUCUUGCCGGACAGUUUUCGGUCCCUAUUCCGUUUGGCAUCGAUUCUUUCCCCGGAUCUGCACUACAUUAUCAAGAUUUCACUCCUUUCUCAGGGAUUUCAAAAUCAUUUAACCAUUGGACCACGCAUCUUUAAACUGAUGCACGACAUAAGCGAAAAGAUUCCCGAUGUAUCGACCACCGCAAACCUGCGUUCCCUUCGAGAAAUUUUAAAAGUUUCCAGUAUGCUAAAGGCCAAAGAUGCCAACAUCGACGAGAUGGCCAUCAUCCAUCGUACAUUUAUGUCUUUUUUCGAAACUCAGUUGACACCCACACAAGGGCAAAUCUUACGUCAUCUAGUCAACCAACAUUUCCCAGUAGCUACAAUCGAACAUCACGUGGCUUCAGACGUUUUCGGCCAAAGUGUAAAAGAAGCUUGCAGUGAUCUCAACUUGAUUCCAAAUCAGCAGUUUAUAGAUAAAAUCUGGCAAUUGCACGAAUCGCUUAUGGCUCGGAACGGCGUUAUCCUCCUCGGAGCGACACUGGCGGGCAAAAGCACUCUGUACAAGAUUUUAGCCAAAAUUUAUCCGAAAAUCACGAUGGGCUCAGCUAGUGGUGACGACGGUCGUGUUGUGAUGCACAUUAUCAGUCCGUGGUCGCUGCCUUCUAAAUACUUGUACGAAUGGAGCGAGCCGGAGAAAAACAAGUGGAACGACGGAAUUAUUACGAAAGCGCUGCGUGAGUUGUCUUCCAGCUCACCGACAAGUCCGCGUUGGCUCGUUUUGGACGGACAUGUUCAUUCCGAGCUGGUUGGACAUUUGCACACUUUGCUGGAUGCCAGUCGUAAAUUGACUCUACCCUCGGGAGAAAUUCUUCAGAUUCCACAGUCCUUUCGACUGAUUUUUGAAACAUCUGACUUGACUUAUGCUUCACCGUCAACUAUUACACGGUGUGGCAUAGUCCGAGUAACAGAGGACAUAGUCAGCGUCGAUUCUCUCUACCUCAGUUGGUUGAAACGGUCCAACUUGCCAUCUAAAUUGCAUCCGCUGUUGGAUAAAUUUGUCCAAAACAUUUUAAAGCCAUGUUUGGUUUUCACUGUUGAGUCAUCUACCUCAUAUUGCAUCAUUCCUACGACGCAGCCUUACCUCUUUGUGAGUUUUACCCGAUUGGUCAACUCGUUACUGGCCAGCCAUGAAAACCUUCAGUUGAAAACUCUGCUUUUGCUCAAACUGCUGUCAUUCUCCACCAUUUGGACUGUAGGCUCUACAUUCAAACACGAUUGCAAGAGCCAUUUCCAUCAGCAUUUUACUGGUUUGUUCAGUGCCUUCGAAGAUGCAGAAAGCUUUGGUACAGGAACCAUCUUACCUCCAUCGGAGUGUUCUGUCUUUUCCUACAAAUUGGAUGUACUUAAUGGGAACUGGAUUCUCUGGAAAGAUGCCCUUCCAUCAAUCCCCAAAAGUUUUAAUGGACCUCGAAUCAUUAUUAGCAAUGAAUCCGUUGCGAUUCAACAUUUUUUCAUCAAGGCUUACUCAAACGGUAACGUUCCCGUCGUCAUCCUUGGUCCCGCCAGUGUGGGUAAAUCGCAAGUGACUCAAUUCGCCAUCGAAGAUUUGCCCAAAGACCGAUUCGUUCACAACAUUGUCCAUGUGACACCAAUAACGACAUCAUCUUCUUUACUCACGUCGGUCAUGAUUGGCUUGGAUCGACGUAGGAAAGGAGUUUAUGGCCCAGCACUUGGCCGGCGCUGCGUCCUAUUUGUCGACGAUCUCAUCACUAGCGAUCCGGUGGAGGGAAACAUUCGAACUUCGUCAGAACUCUUAAGACACUGGCUAAAUUUCGAAUGCGUUUUUGACGGGAAAACCGCAUCAAAAAUGGAACUAGUGGAUAUUCAUCUGAUAACGUCCGUCAGAUUGGCCGACCGUUUUUCCGAAGAAUUUGAUGUUCGAUUGCAUCGGCACAUGAACACGAUCUUCAUUGAUCCCUUCACAACCGACAGCCUUGUAACAAUGACAUCUACAAUCAUGGAACGCCAUUUCACAUCGCCAGGUUUCAACAAUGCAGUGUCUAAGCUGGCCAAGGCUGUGUCCGUUGCUACGGUGGAUUUAUACCAAGUUUGGGAGGAAAAGGCUCAACAGAACGUAGCUCAUUAUUGUGUGAGUGUAUCGUGUGUGAAUCGUGUAAUCCAAGGAAUGAUGAAUGUCUCUGCUGCUAAUUUAAGCAACGUCAACAAAUUGCACCGUUUGUGGAUCCACGAAACGUGCCGCGUUUGGGCGGACCGACUCAUGUCAGAUGCCGAUCGUCAAUGGUUCAUCAGUCAUUUGGAUCGUAUUGGCUUGGUUCACUUUAAACAAAAUCUCAGCAAGUAUUUAUUCGCCUCUGCAAUGGGUGGAGCAGAUUACACGAUCUUGCCGAAAAUUCAUUUCUCCAAACUGCCCAGUUUAAAAUUCACAGAAAUCAUUUGCGACGAGGUAACGGACAUGGAUGCCAUUAUCCAACUGAUGGAGGCUAGGUUGGAACAGCACAACAAGGAAUGUACAGUAUCGGCUCCGAUUAAACUGGUCAUUUCGCUCAAUGUUGCCUACCACAUUCUCCACAUCAAUCACGCACUGAAUCGUCCAAGAGGACACGUGAUUCUGAUCGGUGAUGCUGGAAGAGGUCGCCGUAGUUGCGCUACCGUAGCCGCUUUGCUACUCGAUUAUAAAAUAUUUCAGAUUAGAGCCGGCAGGAAUUACGGAGUCCAAGAAUGGAAGGAAGACGUUAAGAAACUCAUCCAUCGCUCGGGCAUCCAGCAUGAAAAGAUUGUCUUCUUAUGUAAUGCAGCCGACUUCCAAAAGCGAAUCUUUUUCGAUUAUAUCGGACGAUUGAUUUGCGGAUACGAAAUUUCCGAACUCUUUACUAACGAAGAACGUCAGGAAAUGACUGAACUUUAUCAAAAGCGCACGAAAGAAAUCGCCACCUUUAAUCAAAUUCUAUUACAAGUCGACGAAAAUUUGCGUGUUGCGUUGUGUGUCUCUCCAAGAGAUUCAUGCUACAUCCACCUUCCGCAGUACCCGACUGUCUUCAAAUUUGCAUCCAUUCUCUGGUUUGAACCUUGGCCGGAAGAAACAUUGGAAGUUAUAGCUAAAAAAUGGUUGGAUGACAUUCCGGGACUGAGCGACAAACUACAAUUGAAUUAUUCCAAUUAUUUCAAAAAUGUCCACAACAGCAUGCGAUUGUACAGUGAAAGCAAAGGAAUGGCUCCGCAUUCCAGCGCAGCUUAUUUGGAACUCUUGUCCAAUUUCCGGACGCUGUGGCUUAGCAAAGAGAAAGAUUUGCUUCAACAAAAGGACCGUUACAAUGUCGGCCUGGGCAAGUUGCAGUUCGCCGCUUCACAGGUAGUCGUCAUGCAGGAGGAGCUGCGUAGUCUUCAGCCGCAACUAGUUGAUACUUCAGCAGAAACGGAAAGUCUGAUGGUGAAAAUCGAACAAGACACUGUUAAAGUGGAAGCCCAAAAAGAAAUCAUUGCCGCUGAUGAAAGUUUGGCUAACGAAGCUGCUGCAGCUGCACAAGCCAUCAAAGACGAAUGUGAAAGUGAUCUGGCGGAAGCCACUCCGGCUCUAGAUGCAGCCAUUAAUGCCCUGGAUACGCUGAAACCAGCUGACAUUACCUUAGUCAAAUCAAUGCGACAUCCUCCGUCUAUCGUAAAACUGGUCAUGGAAGCUGUUUGCGUCAUGAAACAAAUUCCGCCCGUCAAAAAGUUGGAUAUGGCGACCGGCAAGAUGACGGACAAUUACUGGCAAGCUGCCCAGAAAAUCUUGGGAGAUCUUCGCUUUCUUGAUCUCUUGCGAUCCUAUGAUAAAGACAACAUUCCUUCGAAUGUUAUGAAACGUAUACGUGAAAAAUAUAUUCCGAAUCCAGAGUUCAACCCAAAUAUUGUGCGACAUGUUUCGACAGCUUGCGAAGGACUUUGUCGAUGGGUUAGGGCAAUGGAAGUGUACGACCGGGUUAUUAAAAUCGUUGCUCCUAAACGUGCCAAAUUGCAAGAAGCUGAACAGGAACUGGCUCGACAAAUGAAACGUCUGUCAGAAAAACAUAGCCAAUUACAGCAGAUCUCAGACAAAUUGCAAGGCCUGAAUGACGACUUUGCUGCCAUGUCCAAAAAGAAAAAAGACUUGGAAGAUAGCAUUGAUCAAUGUCAUCAGAAAAUGGAAAGAGCAGAGAAAUUGAUUGGAGGUUUAGGUGGCGAGCAAGAAAAUUGGAAAACAUCCUCCAACAAUCUCGAUUUCCGGUUAAAGCAAUUGCCUGGUGAUGUCCUCCUCUCUGCCAGUAUCAUUACGUACUUGGGGGCAAUGAAAAAUGAACAAAGAAUGGAUUGUCUCCAAAAGUGGUUGCAACUCAUUCAAGAAUGUAAAAUCCCGCACAGUAACAACUUUUCGCUAGUAGAUUGCUUGAUAGAUCCGGUUAAGAUAAGGGCUUGGAACCUUGCUGGCCUACCGUCCGACAGGUAUUCCCUGGACAACGGAAUCAUCACGACCCACUGCCAACGCUGGCCAUUACUUUUUGAUCCUCAAGAUCAAGGAUUUAAAUGGAUCGUCAAUACUGAGACGAAAAACCAAGUGAAGCAGAUCCGUUACGAUGAUGUCAAUUAUCUGAGGGAAGUCAAAACGGCCAUAUCAGAUGGCCACGUAGUUGUAUUGGUCAAUGUUAAAGACAAACUCGAUCCGGAUCUUGACAAUUUGUUGGAAAAACGAACGUUCACCUCGAACGAGAAGACAGUUAUUCAGAUAGGUUCCGAAUUGAUUCCAUGGUCUCUUAAGUUCCGUUUAUAUCUGAUAACGAAAGAAGAGAAUUCUGCCUCUAAUUUAGAGCUCGCUUCAAAGUUGACCAUCAUCAAUUUCCGAUUGAGCCGCGCUGGGCUGGAGGAUAAAUUCUUGAGCCUUUUCCUAUCUAACGAACGUCCAGAACUUGAGGAACAAAAGCAAAUGUUAAUGGUUCAAAGCGCUAGCAAUCAGAGACAGAUCAGGGAUCUUGAAGACCGCAUCCUGUACGUUCUUUCUUCUUCUCGUGGAAAUAUUUUAGAAGAUGAGACUGCAACGAAGACUCUGUACAGCUCCAAGAUCACGUCCGAAGGUAUCAGCGUCAAGCAGAAGGAAAUUCAGAAGUCGGAACAGGAAAUUGACCAGGUGCGCGAAAGUUACCGAGCUGUCGCUUCUCAUGCAGCGUCCUUGUACUCAUGUAUAGGCCAACUGAGACAUCUCAACAAAGUCUAUCAGUUUUCGUUGCCUUGGUUCAUCAAUCUGUUCACAAAUUCGACGGUGGCGAGCCAAACAUCGUUGCUCAUCAGUGAAAGGAUCGUCUACGUCAAUGAACAUUUCAGCAGAACUCUUCAUCAUUCCAUUUGUCGGGCUUUAUUCAACACCGAUAGGCAACUGUUUACUGUCCUAUUGGCUUUUGCAGCCCUUCGUUCCAAGGGCAAUGUCCAGCAAGAAACGAUUGAUCGACUGUACGCGGAGACGCCAUUGCCUCCAAGUCAUUGGAUUGGGCCAUCUUGGAUUGACGGCAAAACUUGGCAACAUAUUAUGGAAUUGAGCCAAACCAUUGAAAGGUUGAAAGAACUGCCUCAGCAUAUGGAAUGCAAUGCUCAAAAAUGGGAGGAGUUCUGCCUUCCAUCAAAUCUAGCCAGAACCUUACCUUCCCCUUGGAACCAGCUAGAGCCUUUGGAACAGCUUCUUAUCAUCAAGCAUUUAAAACCGGACUCUUUCGCGGCUUCAGUUAAUACUUUUAUCAAAGCCAUUUUGGGACCCAAUUAUUCGGAAAAUAUUAUCAACGACAUUCAAGGGGCUUACGAAGAAUCAACAUCCACCGUACCGGUACUGUGCUUUGUGGCAGGAAACAUUGAUCCUUGUCAAAGCAUUUCAUCUUUGUGUGAAAAGAAAUUAGAUAAUCGCAACAGAAUCAAGUCGUUCACAUUAGGGCGGGGAUCGGAUCGAACUGUUUACAAUCUAGUACGCAGAUGUGCUGAUGAAGGUAACUGGGCCGUUAUACAAAACAUCCAUUUGUAUCCGGAUCUUGUGGAUGAAAUUGUGGAUCAACUGCGACUGGAACAAAAGGACUUUGGGAACGAAUUCCGCCUCUGGUUGAUUGGCUACGCCUCAUCGCACUAUUCACCAAUGGCAUUACAGUUUUGUGUCAAAACUGUUUGCGAAUCGCCGUCUUGUUUCCGAGACGGCCUCCUGGAAAUCCUUCGCCUCGAUUUCGUCCACGAUUUCUCAAGCGCGCGGGCAUCAUCUGCGGAAUCGAGUUUCCAGUCAGCCAAUCCGUCCCAGUUGGAGAAGGAAAACGUCAUAUUCCGCAGUGAACCCUGGCGACGGAUUUCACUUGCGCUGUUUUGUUUCCAUGCUUUGCUAUUGGAAAGGACUCGCUACUCGACAUUAGGUUUUGCUGGCCUUGUUGAGUUUACGUAUUAUGAUUUGAAAUCAGCCUUGAUUCUCGUCAAAGACUCUAUGCUAUCAGCUAGAGAUAUCUCUUUGGCCUCACUUCGUUCGUUGGUAGUUGAUUGCGUGUACCGUGCUCAAUUGACUAUCGAGAACGAUGUCGCCAUCUUGCGUCGUUUCAUUGACCAUCUUUUAAGUUCAAACAUCCUGCAAGCAGACAGGUUAAUUGUUACACUGUGUGGAAAGUUGUCCAUUCCUUUUACAAAUAACACACGAAUGCUUAUGGAAUCCAUUCAAUCCUUACCCAGAGAUUUGCAACCGGAAGCUGUCGGUUUGUCAAGGGACUUGGUGAAGCAAUGUCACACCGAGGAAUCCGUGGACCUUCUCAGAAAGUUGAAUUGCUGCUCCGCAACAUCUGAUCGUUAGAAACCGGAAUGUCCCGGAAAAAGGCCGUACCGUUCCUGGGUCAUCUUUUCCAGCAAUUUAUUAUCUUCUUUAUCUUCGCGUAUACAACACGAAUAACAAAAACAAAGGAAAAAGAUAGCACAAAGUGUUGUUGAAGGUAGCACCUUAUACUCUUGUGAGUUCACUUCUUGAAAGUGAACACAUUAGAACUGCAUUUACUCAUGUUUGGUAUGCAAAAUUAGCUCUCAAUAUAUAAUUCUUUUUAUAUCCAUUUUGUAUG
Daphnia carinata is the source of this 7975-nucleotide RNA transcript. It is a transcript of the gene named dynein axonemal heavy chain 3-like, with no coding region annotated. The record is from RefSeq and is a predicted model, not a curated record. The transcript has 36 exons. NCBI's taxonomy places the organism in Eukaryota, Metazoa, Arthropoda, Branchiopoda, Diplostraca, Daphniidae.